Molecule: long non-coding RNA, 929 nt
Organism: Acanthopagrus latus (yellowfin seabream)
Lineage: Eukaryota; Metazoa; Chordata; Actinopteri; Spariformes; Sparidae
Exons: 2
Source: RefSeq, a predicted model, not a curated record
AGGACGAGUUAAUCUGUGUUCGUUUGGUAAUGCCUCUCUGCAUGUUUAGUAUGCAGCUGUUUUUGUCUGAAAUAAUUAAGUUUCGUUUUGAUCGAAAGUAAAGAGAGUCGCGUGCAUAAACCUCUCGUUCUGCGUCUUUAACACUAGAGCCACCCGCUUAUCGCAUCUCGCGCAAAAGCAGAACGUACACGGUACUGUGGAGCUGGCAGCACGUCGAAGCGGUGUAUUCAAUUCAAUUCAACUUUUCUGCCGAACGGUCAGACAAGAGGGAACAGAGUGGUCGGAGAGAGAUCGGAUAUGGCAGUUGGACGUCUGGGCGGUGUGUGUGGGCCUUAAAUGUCCGCUGCCGUGUGUAGAUUUGACUCUAAAACAGUGAGGAUGAACAUGAGCACCCAGGGCCCUCUACCUCUGGCUCCCAAGGUCUCUUCCUGCUCUGACUCAGAAGGCCCUCAGAGAGCAGCUUGCAACUGAAAUGUUGGCUCAUCCUCCACAUCUGCUCCAGGGUCAUCCUCCACGCCUGCUCCAGGGUCAUCCUGCAUGCCGUGUUAUUACAGAACUGACGCGAGUCAAAGUAGGAGGUACUGUAAGAGGUGCCAGAAAACUGGCAUAAAAGGGUGAAAACUCCCAUUUAUUGCAGGAAAUGCAAUGUCCCCCUGUGCCUCACUUAAAAAAAAAAAAAAAACUGUUUUGAGCAGUGGCGUGACACAUCCGGCUGCCUCUACCAGUGGCUGUGUAAGCCAAGGAUUUGUGUCUGAUUGUAAAUAGCUGUUUGCAGAAUUUUUUGUUUUUGCACUUUGUUGUUGUUGCUGAUUUCCAUCAUUAUUAUUGCAUUACUAUUUUUUAUUACUAUUUUCCUACUAUUAUUAUAUCAUUAGUUAUUGUUGUAUUAUAGUGAAUAAAUAAAUCUGCUCAUGUUGGAGACAAAUGUA